AAUAUUGGAUAAUGGGGGCAACCCUGAUCCAGCCAUGCCUCGUGUGUGAAGAAGGUCUUCGGAUUGUAAAGCACUUUAAGUUGGGAGGAAGGGCUUUAGGUUAAUACCCUGCAGUUUUUACGUUACCUACAGAAUAAGCACAGGCUAACUCUGGCCCAUCAGCCUCGGUAAUAAAGAGGGUUCAAGCGUUAAUCGAAAUUACUGGACGUAAAGCGAGCGUAGGUGGUUCAGUAAGAAGGGUGUGAAAUCCCCGGGCUUAACCUGGGAACUGCUUUCAUAACUGCUGAGCUAGAGUACGGUAGAGGGUAGUGGAAUUUCCUGUGUAGCGGUGAAAUGCGUAGAUAUAGGAAGGAACACCAGUGGCGAAGGCGACUACCUGGACUGAUACUGACACUGAGGUGCGAAAGCGUGGGGAGCAAACA
RNAcentral lists this ribosomal RNA (422 nucleotides) under uncultured bacterium. RNAcentral describes it as "partial 16S ribosomal RNA". It matches the Rfam family "Bacterial small subunit ribosomal RNA", at positions 360 to 774 of the family's 1533-position model. The record is from RNAcentral.